AGCAGCCGCGGUAAUUCCAGCUCCAAUAGCGUAUAUUAAAGUUGUUGCAGUUAAAAGCUCGUAGUUGAAUUUCGGGGUUAGUAGGUUGGUCAUGCCUCUGGUAUGUACUGGUCUCACUGAUUCCUCCUUCCUGAUGAACCUUAAUGCCAUUUAUUUGGUGUCUUGGGGAAUUUGGGCUGUUACUUUGAAAAAAUUAGAGUGUUUAAAGCAAGCUAACGCUUGAAUACAUUAGCAUGGAAUAAUGAAAUAGGACGUUCGAUCCUAUUUUGUUGGUUUCUAGGAUUGACGUAAUGAUUAAUAGGGAUAGUUGGGGGCAUUAGUAUUCAAUUGUCAGAGGUGGAAUUCUUGGAUUUAUUGAAGACUAACUACUGCGAAAGCAUUUGCCAAGGAUGUUUUCAUUAAUCAAGAACGAAAGUUAGGGGAUCGAAGACGAUCAGAUACCGUCGUAGUCUUAACCAUAAACUAUGCCGACUAGGGAUCGGAUGAUGUUAAUUUUUUAAUGACUCAUUCGGCGCCUUAC
Molecule: ribosomal RNA, 520 nt
Filed under: uncultured Glomus
Lineage: Eukaryota; Fungi; Glomeromycota; Glomeromycetes; Glomerales; Glomeraceae
Description: SSU rRNA
Rfam family: Eukaryotic small subunit ribosomal RNA
Source: RNAcentral